This 119-nucleotide ribosomal RNA is filed under the name Octodon degus (degu). The record is from RNAcentral. Lineage: Eukaryota; Metazoa; Chordata; Mammalia; Rodentia; Octodontidae.
GUCUAUGGCCAUACUGCCCUGAACACACCCAAUCUCAUCUGAUCUCAGAAGCUAAGCAGGGUGGGGACUGCUUAGCACUUGGAGGGGAGAUUACACGGAGCUCUUUGCGGCUGGGGAAC